RNAcentral lists this ribosomal RNA (219 nucleotides) under uncultured bacterium. Its description in RNAcentral is "partial 16S ribosomal RNA". It matches the Rfam family "Bacterial small subunit ribosomal RNA", at positions 111 to 334 of the family's 1533-position model. The record is from RNAcentral.
UAAUGUCUGGGAAACGGCCUGAUGGAGGGGGAUAACUGCUGGAAACGGUAGCUAAUACCGCAUAACGUCGCAAGACCAAAGAGGGGACCUUCGGGCCUCAUGCCAUCAGAUGUGCCCAGAUGGGAUUAGCUAGUAGGUGGGGUAACGGCUCACCUAGGCGACGAUCCCUAGCUGGUCUGAGAGGAUGACCAGCCACACUGGAACUGAGACACGGUCCAG